UACGAAGGGUGCAAGCGUUACUCGGAAUUACUGGGCGUAAAGGGUGCGUAGGUGGUCGUUUAAGUCCGUUGUGAAAUCCCUGGGCUCAACCUGGGAAUGGCAGUGGAUACUGGACGGCUAGAAUGCGGUAGAGGGUAGUGGAAUUCCCGGUGUAGCAGUGAAAUGCGUAGAGAUCGGGAGGAACACCAGUGGCGAAGGCGGCUACCUGGACCAGCAUUGACACCCAAGCACGAAAGCGUGGGGAGCAAACAGG
Molecule: ribosomal RNA, 253 nt
Filed under: uncultured bacterium
Lineage: Bacteria
Description: partial 16S ribosomal RNA
Rfam family: Bacterial small subunit ribosomal RNA
Source: RNAcentral